Molecule: long non-coding RNA, 2691 nt
Organism: Pan troglodytes (chimpanzee)
Lineage: Eukaryota; Metazoa; Chordata; Mammalia; Primates; Hominidae
Exons: 3
Source: RefSeq, a predicted model, not a curated record
AGCAACCCUAGGACAUUUCCGCCCUUUCCAGCCAGAGAGUGGGUGGAGGGGGCAACCACAUGGCUGGCUGGUACUUCUUACUCUGGGGGGUCUCCUCAUGAUCAGUUGCAUAACAGCCACGGUGGUCCUUGCACUCUGGGGAGUUACCCUCCUACUCCCAGGGGAUGAGCAAUCUCUUUAAGGUCUUUCCUCCUGGGCUGGGAGCCACACAAGUGUGCCAUGGAAUGUGGAGCUCCUCCCUGGGCAGAGUGCCUGAGAGCUAAGGGGAGGAUGACACCUCCCCCUGCAGUGACUCUUUAAGAGAAAAGGGUAAAAGGAGAAAAUCCAGAAUCUUGCUGUGUUGCCCAGGCAGGAAUGCAGUGGUGCAAUCACGGCUCACUGCAGCCUCUACCUCCUAGGCUCAAGCAAUCCUCAGCCUCCUGAGAGUAGCUGGGACUACAGCUCCUCUCUCGAUCGGAAGAUUUUUUACAGCCACCCUACUGAUCUUUAGGGAUUUGUAAACUAUUACCCAGGAAGAAGGCCCAUGGAGCUAAGGCCUCAGAACACCAAAGUCUGGACUGUCUGAGGGCACAUGCUAAUAACAGGAGGCUGGCAAAGUGGCCAGCUCCCAUGCCUUUGCAUGCAUUUGUCUUUACCUCCUGCUGCCUGGGAACAUCCUUCCAGGAGCAAUCGAGUCAACAGCACCACAGACACUGCUAUUCCGUUGAGAAAAGUUUUAUAUGGAAACACAUACUGAUCAUGAACACGAUAAACAGGGAGGGAAGCUCGGGCUCAGCCAGGAAACCUGCCACAAGGAAGACGUUUGGAACUAUCCAGGAGUAGUGUCAAACACUAACACCAUAUUUACAAGUCUAAUUUGGAACCUGGCCCUUUUUAAGUGCAGGAGGAAGUUGGAGGAGAAGCCAUGCAUGAAGUAAAAAAUACAUAUACACAGACAUAAACACCCACAUUUUCACACUUCUUUUGCCCAUUUUUUCCACAAGGAACAAAUGAGAGAAAGAAGCCCAGCCUCUCUCCCUGGAGUCCGUAUACUUACUACAGAUUUGUUAGAGAAGCCCCAGAUGGGGCUUGGAUUCAAGGAGCAGACUUCACUCUUACUGGCCCCACUCACGUGACAAUUCACCAAGGGAAUGCUUGGGACACAAGCAUGAAUGUCCAGAAGAGGCAAGAAAAUAUAUGGCUCACUUAACUUACACAUUACACAUAAGAGGCCUCAGUUUCUCCAAGUACUUUCACAUUUGAUCUUUAGCAGACUUCUAACCUGCAGUGACAGAGCUCAGCCAAGCUGUGAGACACAGAGGAAAGCAGCAUUUUGAUCCAGUGUGCACUGGGUCAGUCACUUCAUCCGAGACAGUCAGUCACACAUGCCAGCCCCAAGUAAGUCCCUGGGGGCUUGCAGCUGUUUUCUUUGUGGAGUGGAAAUUUGGGUUUUUUCCUUCAGUGGAUUUCUCCCUGCUGCUGUCACUGAGCUCCACGCUGCUCGCUCUGGACCCGAGACAGCUGCUCGGCGUGUGUGUGUGUGUGUGUGUGUGUGUGUGUGUGUGUGUGUGUGUAAUUUACUGUUCUGCUGCUGCUGGCUUGUCCCCGGCUGCUGGCUCGUCCUCGGCCACUGGCUUCUCAACCUGUGACUCUGGAGGAAUCAGAUACUGGACCUCCUCUGUGCUGACGGCUACUUUAUCUGGCUGGAGCCACCUCUUGAAAUGUUCCAAGGUGCUAUGAAAGGGCAGAAUAAAAGGGUGGCUGUGUCAGACCUCACUGAUUAAUUACUUAAUGAUUAUCUCAGUUACUCAAACACUACCUUCCCGCCCACCAGCAAUUUCUUCCUACAAUUGUUUUUCACUGCUAAACUGGGGAGUACAAGGAUACUCCUAAUGGCAGCUGUGCAUCCUGGCAGCUCUGCGCAUAAUUUACCCCAUAGUGGGCACUUUGACUACAGGCAGCAGCAGGCCCCCUUCAAAUGCAGAGCCUCUGAAGGCUUGAUGAGAACCGCUGAAGAGUUUACGCCUCAGUCCUAAAGACCUAAAGAUAGGUCUUUUUUCACUCAAAACAGGAGAGGAGAGAAAUUGUCAAGGGGAAGAAGCACUCAAAUAAAUACCAAAUUAUUAUUGAGGCAGAAAUCUGAGUAUCUUUUGCCUCUUAUAGCUGAGGCAGUCUGGGACUCAAUUACAGCACUUACUUGCACUAAGUGAUUUUAUUUUUGUGUGGGGUUUUUGUUUGUUUAUUUCAUCCUAUAGCAAGUCCCUAAGAUAAAAACAUCUGAGCAGCAAAUAUUCCCCACAAGAGAAUGACCACUAUGCCAGAGGGCUGUCUUUUUGUCUGGAUCUGUAGGGAGAGGGGAGAUGUAAUUGUCAAGUUCAAGGUCCCCUACCCGCCUUCCUUACAGGACCCUAUACCCUAAAGCUAUUAGAUGUUCACAGUAAAAUAUAAAUGACUAGAAAUAAUGUAAACCUUAUUCUAUGCUCCUCAAUAGCACAAAGUCUUAACCUAAGAAAGAAUACCAUAACAGCAGAUUUUAGGCAUCUCUUGGUAUAUGGGGGAAUUUAUGUUUUGGAUAGUUGGAUUUCUCAGCCCAUUACUCCCUUGCCAAAAGCAUACCACAAGGAGGAUCACCUACCUGGCCCUCACAUACGUGAAGACCUAUACAACCCCAUUGUAAAAUGGCCUCUGUUUAAAAGAUAAACUUUGAAGAAC